Molecule: ribosomal RNA, 433 nt
Filed under: uncultured bacterium
Lineage: Bacteria
Description: partial 16S ribosomal RNA
Rfam family: Bacterial small subunit ribosomal RNA
Source: RNAcentral
AGCGAACGCUGGCGGCAGGCCUAACACAUGCAAGUCGAGCGCGCCCUUCGGGGUGAGCGGCGGACGGGUGAGUAACGCGUGGGAACGUGCCCUUUUCUACGGAAUAGCCUCGGGAAACUGAGAGUAAUACCGUAUACGCCCUCUGGGGGAGAGAUGUAUCGGAAAAGGAUCGGCCCGCGUUGGAUUAGGUAGUUGGUGGGGUAAUGGCCUACCAAGCCGACGAUCCAUAGCUGGUUUGAGAGGAUGAUCAGCCACACUGGGACUGAGACACGGCCCAGACUCCUACGGGAGGCAGCAGUGGGGAAUCUUAGACAAUGGGGGCAACCCUGAUCUAGCCAUGCCGCGUGAGUGAUGAAGGCCUUAGGGUUGUAAAGCUCUUUCAGCUGGGAAGAUAAUGACGGUACCAGCAGAAGAAGCCCCGGCUAACUCCGUG